GUGGUGCAGAAUCGCUGUUGCUGUUUGUUGGUGUUGGUGUUGCGGCAGCAGCAACGGCAUCAGUACGUGCAAUUUCCAUGUGCGCGUUUGACACAGACAAUUAAGUGGGGCGAGAGGGGGGGUGGGAGCGGGGGUUGAAGUAGUCUCAGUCCCCCUCUUUCCCUCAGGAUCACCGUGCACCAUCACUUGUGGGAAGAGGAAAGGAAAGGAUAAAGGAAAGGAGUGUGUGAAGAAGAUACGACAGGAUGGGUACAGAGCACUCACUCGGUGUGUGUACGAGGUUUCCGGGUUGUAUGAAGACGGACGCCAACACCAAGAGAUGGGUACCGAGAGGUCUCCCACCCAGAAAAACAAAGUGGGUCGCCUCCUCAAGCCUCUCAACGAGGGUCUUUCCUUUUUGAGCUGUCGUAUGCCGAUCCGAGGCGCCUUUUGAUGACGCCCCCCUCCCAUCCCCCUGACUGAGCUCCGUUGGAAGCAAGCUCUACGGCAGCUUUUUUCCCCUGAUGCAGAUAGUCGUCGCUUCCUACCUCCUCUGUUUUUUUUCUUUUUUUUCCACGCUUUGUGGUGUAUGGCACUGUCUCCAAACGCGAGAAGAGGGCUGAGAUAGGUUUGGAGUGUGGAGUGUGGGCAAUUGAUCUACUUUCGUUGUGCAUUGCGCUUCCCAUCGCUACCGUGUCUGCUGCAACUGCGCAUGAGUUGAGGUGAGGCCUCAGCUCUUGGAAACCUUUACUUCUACAAACAACCGCACAGGUAUAGAAUACAGUCACGUUUGAGCACUAUCAAAGUGUCAGGAAGAUACCGAAUAGCAUGACAGAUUCGUGAAUUAUGAUUUGUAAUCACGCUUUAGACUCGCACCUAAAGUAGUCACUGCAAAUAUAUAUAUAUAUAUAUAUAUAUAUAUAUAUAUAAACUUUUUAGUACCGAUCGCUCGCGAUAACUCAUCCUUUUUAACUCAACCCUAAACAUGGUUUAGAACAUGUCCUCCCUCAGUAUUCCUGGUUGGAGGCUUAGUAUGUGAAAGCUCGCUAGUCUGCUACAAAACAUUCACUGGAAUGAGGGAUUUUUUUUUUCCUGAUUUGUGCACUUGAAUUAGAGUCGUUGAAGAGUCAAAAUUAACCGGGUAGUGGGCGUACACGAAUAGAACAUGGUGAAGAGGAGAUGGUGUUUUGAAUAGAACAAGCAUCAGCAGCCCAUGCGAGUUGAUUGUAAACUUGUUGUAAUAUAAAUCAUGGACUGCUGAUUCUGAUUCUGAUUCUGAUUAGGUGAUUUAUUUGUAUUUUAAGACACGGGUAGUUUCUGAUCAAAUGUGCGAACUCUUAUAUGACGGGAUACAUUUUGUUAUAUAGUAUUUUCAUUCAUGUUUUAAAAGCUUUGCAUAGCACUUCCAGUUCAUUUUAAGGAGAUGACCUUCGUAGUAUUGUCAUUGUCUCACAGACUGUGAUUAUAUGGAAUAUUUGCAGAUAUCAAAGUCUUAUAUAUGUCAACAUGAGGACAUAAUGUAAUUUUCAGUUUUACUGAUAGAUCCAUACUCUACAGUCUUGUUUUCUUGUGUAGUGAUUGUUGAUUGUAGUUGCUAGUUCCACAACAGAUUUAAUAAUAACGAAUUUUAAAUUCAGCAUCUUGUAAGUAUUUUAAUUUACUUCAGUAAUCAAAAAGACAUUGAUCAAGUAGUCACAAACUGUGUUUACUUGAUUUAAAAGUCACGUAUUAUUUAAUCUAA
Non-coding RNA from Physcomitrium patens, 1720 nucleotides. Lineage: Eukaryota; Viridiplantae; Streptophyta; Bryopsida; Funariales; Funariaceae. The record is from RefSeq and is a predicted model, not a curated record.